CACGACAAGAUGCGGUGCUACAUCGUGGUGCACAACGUCUUGUCUUCUCGGACGAAUGGUGACCGUGCAUAAAGCAGAGGGCGAAGUAGGGACACGCAACAAUCGUGUACGAAUGUCGAAAUAGUUCGGACCAGAGAAAUGAUCGGACCUCAAGAGGAAAAAAAAACGGCCGCCUUCCGUCAGAGAAAGAACAAUCGGUGAAAGGAAGACGGUGCCGGCACCAAAUCUGUAUCUUCUGUAGCCGUAUAUGGCCCCAGAAUUCGCAGAAGAGUAGCCACCGGUGUUUAGAAUGUCAAGAUUGGACCGACGCACACACACACACACACACGCCGGAGUUGAUGACAGGGAUACAAACAUCGCUUACGUCUGUGGCGCGUGUAAAUAGUUGCACCCCGUCUUGUCCCAUAUGCGUGGGGGACACCGUUCUUGCGUCUAAACCGAUUCUCUUUGUACUUUGUAUGUUCGACUUCGACAGGAGAGAGAUUGCGACUUUAACAGUUUUACAUGUACACUAUACUCGAGCGUUAUUUAUAAACAUGUUAUCAAUAAGUACGAUGAUUUGUAA
Molecule: non-coding RNA, 565 nt
Organism: Megalopta genalis
Lineage: Eukaryota; Metazoa; Arthropoda; Insecta; Hymenoptera; Halictidae
Source: RefSeq, a predicted model, not a curated record